RNAcentral lists this long non-coding RNA (2526 nucleotides) under Canis lupus familiaris (dog). RNAcentral describes it as "lncRNA (ENSCAFG00000054530.1)". Lineage: Eukaryota; Metazoa; Chordata; Mammalia; Carnivora; Canidae. The record is from RNAcentral.
CUGGGACUCUGGGGUAAAAUCAUAAAAGAAUUUCAAGAUAGUCUCCCACAGCCAUUCCUGAAAUCAGUUCCAGACAGUCCUAAUUCCUGCCCCCAGGGCCAGUCUGAUCAGUAUGUACCUAUGCGGUUGCUCAGAAGUGCAGACAUUCUGAAGAGCCCACACUUAAUUUAAUGCCCUGAUUUUACCAUCUUGAUGUUCUUAAUAAUGUUUGAGCAAAGGGCCAUCUUUUCAUGUUGUAUUAGGCCCCACAAAUUAGAUCUCUAGUCCUGCUUGACCAGUGAGGCAAAUGAUAAGACUACUAACUGAAUCAGGCUCUCCAAAGCAAGAGGUUAACAGGUAGUGAGGAGACAGGCUUAUUUGUUCAACAGACUCUUAGACAGCAACUACCAUGUGCCAAGUCCUAUACAUAUAUUUUCCUAUUUAAUCCUGAUAGUAAUAUCCUCCUUAUUUUACAGAAGAGGAAACUGAGGCAUUGAGAAAUUAAGUACUUGCCCAAGGUCACCUAGGUAGUACACCCAGAAAUUGAAUUCAGGCAUCUGGCUAGAGUUUGAAUACCUGGCUGUGUUGGCCAAUGCUGGCUUCCCAUCAAAGAAAAAUGCCUUAUUCUGUCUGUUAAUAGAGUACUGGGGACAUGCAUUAUGGUCUUUACCUUAAAGACCUUUGCUGAAUAGUCUAAAAGUUUCAAGGAUGAUACCUUCUGAGAAAUUCCAACUCUCCACAGCAAUGUUUUUCUGCUCGUAAUGCCAAGGACACUUGCCUGAGUUAAAUUAAUGAGAUGACUAUAAAUAUUGAGUAAAGUAUGGCCAGUGUAUUUGUGGCCCAACACAGAUGUGCCUACAGAGUUCCCAGACUCUCUAUGCCCAACUCCUGCACUGUUGACGGAGGGGAAAGAAGUGACAAGGAGAAUGGGCUGACCUUGGACUCCCUGUGCCUCCCUAGUUCAGACAGCACCACACAUCUUCCUAAAAGCAAGAAGGCCCCGUCUGGCCAUCAUUUCACUUAAAGUGGAGAAACACACAUAAAGGCUGCAUUUUUAUGGACAUAAGAGGUUAGGGCUGAUGAUGUAGAGAAAAUCAGUGUGAAUUCUAAGAAUUAGACAAGGAGUGAUGUGCUCACUGCUCACCAGUCUGCAAAAGCCCUUCUGCUCUGGGCUAAUGCUCAAGAUACAAAUCCAUUGAUGAGGACAGAGGGAUCCCCAAAAGCCUACUGUACCCCCCACCCUCCAGGGUUAGCUGUGCCACCCAGGAGCAGCCAGUCAGUCAAAAUGUCCAUAGGAGUCUCUGAUCAUUCCAGAGGGUCAGCAGCGCCCCAGGUCAAGGGCAAUCUAGCCACAAAAAGGCAAUAUAAAUCUUCUCCCACAUAAGUUCCUCCAUUCUCUCUGCCACAGUACAUUUCCAGAAUCCUCCUUUUCUGGAAAUUCAAGAGAGACAGACUAAGAGAGAAAAUAAUGUGAAGUAGAGGAAGAGUCACAUUCCCAGAAUUCCACCUAACCAGAGAGAAAUGGAAUAAAAGCAGCACUCAGCUCCUCCCCCUGUUGACCUGGUUAAUACAAAACUCUUGCACCUUUGAUAGGGUCCCUUCUUUCUGCUGCAGUCUGCCUUAUCCAGCCUCCACCCUCAGCCCUAGAAAUGUGAUUCCUCCAGUGCACAGUUUGGGCCACAAAAAAAUGGAGGUAGAAGGGGGGAAAGAGCGUGACAUCUAGUCUAAGAGAACUAAAAAGGAUUUCCUUGCUCCCUUUCCACCUUUUCUUAUCUCCAACCUCACAUAAGCAGAUGGGUUUAACAGCGUGACUCAGGUGUCUGUGGAAGAGCAGAGAGAGUGCUGGAGCCCAAAGGGAGCACAGUCCUCACCCCAGCCCCAAGGUUUGCAUUUCUCCACCUGAGGGCUCCUCUGACAGUCUUCUGAGGGCUCAAGAUGAUAGAGUCCCCCAUCAUGAACUUAUAGCUAGAUUUGCAAAGUGGUCAGCAACUCUGAUCAGGGCAAAUUUUGCACGGAAGCCUCUGAUUACAUUAGCUGAAACAUUGUGACACCUCACAUGACUUUGAACUUUAUCAGUCCUUACAUGCAUACAAAGCCAGCGUGAUGCCAGGAAGCAUCAGCACAGAGCGUGAAAUAUCAGAACUCCUCACAAUGCUCAAGGUUGUAAUGAGACACAGGGUUUCAUUCUGGCCUUGAUAACUCACAAAUAGCCUGGAUGAACUUGAAGCACCUUCAGAGGAGAGUCACAACUACCUCUUUGUCCAAAUCAAAGAAAAUGGAAAAGAGAAGGCUGACCUGAGCAACAGCAAUAUGCUCAAGGACAAAUUUCUAAAAAUUAUAAAACCAAGGACGUCUGCGUGGCUAAGCAGCAAAGCACCUGCCCUUGGCUCAGGUCGUGAUCCCAGGGUCCUGGGAUCGAGUCCUGCAUCAGGCUCCCUGCUCCAAAGGGAGCUUGCUUCUCCCUCCACCUCUGACUGCUUCUCUCUCUCUCUCUCUCUCUCGUGAAUAAAUAAAUAAAAUCUUUAAAAAAAUAAAAUAAAAUAAAAA